UAGUGACAGAGUGAGGGAAGGGGUGACUAGUGGCAGAGUGAGGGAAGGAAGGGGUGACUAGUGACAGAGUGAGGAAGGGUGUGACUAGUGACAGAGUGAAGGAGGUGGUGACUGUCACUAGUCACCCCAUCGCUCCCUCUGUCACUAGUCACCCCUUCCCUCCCUCACUCUGUCACUAGUCCCCCCUCCCUCUCUCUGUCACU
Pelobates cultripes (western spadefoot toad) is the source of this 203-nucleotide non-coding RNA. The record is from the annotation of a GenBank genome assembly. Lineage: Eukaryota; Metazoa; Chordata; Amphibia; Anura; Pelobatidae.